AAUUGCUUUCGGGGUUAAUGCCGAACAGCUAGCUUAAUAAAUAUAAAAUUAAUUAUUUUUUGAUCGCUCUUUUAGUAUGUUUUUGCGAGGCUUGAGAUUGCAGUCCAUAACCUUCAUCCAACAUGUUCACACCAAAAAUUUUUUUUUGGUAUUAUGAUUUCAGUCAGAAGUUUGCAACGCAGUGAAGGAGACGUUUCCGACCUCAUAAUGUACAUAUACGAGUAUAUACUUAAUCAACAUCACUAGAGGAGUCGAUGUAGCCAUGUCCAUCUGGCCGUCCGUUUCAAACUAGUAUCUCAGCUUUAAAGCUAUCGGGCUGAAACUUUCUCAAAAGUCUUCUUUCUAUUGCACAAGUUGGAACUAUAUCUUAUAGCUUUCAUUGGAAAAAUCUAAAAAUUUAUUAAAAUUAUAUGUUUAGUGAUUUUUAACACCUGCUACGCUUGGAUAUAUUCGAAUUUUAUUCUAUUAAAAUCGGACGACUAUAUCAUAUAGCUGCCAUAGGAACGAUCGGAAAAUAGUGCCUGCUGAUGUGUUGGAAGCCUUUCAAGAUGUAGAGAAACCCAGAGCUCCGGUACAACAAAAUAGGAUGCAAGGAACGUCUUCAUCAAACGCUGCGACCUCGGAACAGAGGGUCAAAUGCUUUAACUGCCACAGUCUUGGUCAUCUGGCUAAAGACUGCCGAAAGCCAGUACGGGCUGAUGGAGCUUGUUAUGCUUGUGGAGAAGUUCGACAC
Long non-coding RNA from Drosophila biarmipes, 733 nucleotides. RefSeq lists it as uncharacterized. The transcript is spliced from 3 exons. NCBI's taxonomy places the organism in Eukaryota, Metazoa, Arthropoda, Insecta, Diptera, Drosophilidae. The record is from RefSeq and is a predicted model, not a curated record.